AAAACAUGUUUUUUUGUUUAUUUAAAAAGUUUGACCUGCCCGGUGAACAUUUAACGGCCGCGGUAAAUUGACCGUGCAAAGGUAGCAUAAUCAUUAGUCUUUUAAUAGGAGUUUGGUAUGAAAGGUUUAACGAAACAUAAACUGUCUUUAAUUUUAUACAUUGAAUUUAGCUUUUAAGUUAAAAGGCUUAAAUUUUAUUGAUGGACGAGAAGACCCUAUAGAUUUUUACAUAAUUGAUUGUUAUUAUUUAAUUGAUCAAAUUUUAAUAUAAUUUUUAGUUUUGUUUAGUUGGGGUGACUAUAAAUAUAUAAUUAACUUUUAUAUUUUACAACCAUUAAUUUAUGAUUAUUGGAUCCAUUAUUAUUGAUUAUUAGAUCAAAUUACCUUAGGGAUAACAGCGUAAUCUUCUUUCAGAGUUCAAAUUUACAAGAAGGGUUGCGACCUCGAUGUUGGAUUAAGAUAAUUAUUAGGUGUAGUAGCUUAAUUAAUAGGUCUGUUCGACCUUUAAAUUCUUACGUG
Molecule: ribosomal RNA, 519 nt
Filed under: Mecistogaster linearis
Lineage: Eukaryota; Metazoa; Arthropoda; Insecta; Odonata; Coenagrionidae
Description: partial 16S ribosomal RNA
Rfam family: Bacterial large subunit ribosomal RNA
Source: RNAcentral